CUCCUACGGGAGGCAGCAGUGGGGAAUUUUGGCGUCAAUGGGGGAAACCCUGACGCAGCAACGCCGCGUGGAGGAUGAAGCCCCUUGGGGUCGUUAAACGUCCUUUCGACCUAAGACGAUAAUGACGGUACUGGUGGAAGAAGCACCGGCUAACUCUGUGCCAGCAGCCGCGGUAAUAC
This 179-nucleotide ribosomal RNA is filed under the name uncultured bacterium. RNAcentral describes it as "partial 16S ribosomal RNA". It matches the Rfam family "Bacterial small subunit ribosomal RNA", at positions 336 to 526 of the family's 1533-position model. The record is from RNAcentral.